CCUACGGGAGGCAGCAGUGGGGAAUAUUGGACAAUGGGCGAAAGCCUGAUCCAGCCAUGCCGCGUGUGUGAAGAAGGUCUUCGGCUUGUAAAGCACUUUAAGUUGGGAGGAAGGGUUGUAGAUUAAUACUCUGCAAUUUUGACGUUACCGACAGAAUAAGCACCGGCUAACUCUGUGCCAGCAGCCGCGGUAAUACAGAUGGUGCAAGCGUUAAUCGGAAUUACUGGGUGUAAAGCGCGCGUAGGUGGUAUGGUAAGCCAGAUGUGAAAGCCCCGGGCUCAACCCGGGAAUUGCAUUUGAAACUGACUGGCUAGAGUAUAGUAGAGGAUGGUGGAAUUUCCAGUGUAGCGGUGAAAUGCGUAGAUAUAAGGAAGAACACCAGUGGCGAAGGCGACUACCUGGACUGAUACUGACACUGAGGUGCGAAAGCGUGGGGAGCAAACAGGAUUAGAUACCCCGGUAGUC
RNAcentral lists this ribosomal RNA (465 nucleotides) under uncultured Pseudomonas sp. RNAcentral describes it as "bacterial SSU rRNA". It matches the Rfam family "Bacterial small subunit ribosomal RNA", at positions 338 to 795 of the family's 1533-position model. The record is from RNAcentral. Lineage: Bacteria; Pseudomonadati; Pseudomonadota; Gammaproteobacteria; Pseudomonadales; Pseudomonadaceae.